GCGCCGGUGGUGUAGCCUGGUAUCACUCUGGCCUUCCAAGCCAGCGACUCGGGUUCAAAUCCCGACCGGCGCACCA
This 76-nucleotide transfer RNA is filed under the name Methanotorris igneus Kol 5. RNAcentral's name for it is "tRNA-Gly (TCC) (tRNA-Gly-TCC-1-1)". It matches the Rfam family "tRNA". From Rfam's summary of the family: Transfer RNA (tRNA) molecules are approximately 80 nucleotides in length. Their secondary structure includes four short double-helical elements and three loops (D, anti-codon, and T loops). The record is from RNAcentral. Lineage: Archaea; Methanobacteriati; Methanobacteriota; Methanococci; Methanococcales; Methanocaldococcaceae.